Molecule: ribosomal RNA, 394 nt
Filed under: uncultured bacterium
Lineage: Bacteria
Description: bacterial SSU rRNA
Rfam family: Bacterial small subunit ribosomal RNA
Source: RNAcentral
GAUGAACGCUAGCGGCAGGCCUAACACAUGCAAGUCGAGGGGUAGAGUUCUUCGGGACUUGAGACCGGCGCACGGGUGCGUAACGCGUAUGCAAUCUACCUUAUACAGGGGAAUAGCCCAGAGAAAUUUGGAUUAAUGCCCCAUAGUGUUAUCGAAUCGCAUGGUUUGAUAACUAAAGUUCCAACGGUAUAAGAUGAGCAUGCGUCCCAUUAGUUAGUUGGUAAGGUAACGGCUUACCAAGACAAUGAUGGGUAGGGGUCCUGAGAGGGAGAUCCCCCACACUGGUACUGAGACACGGACCAGACUCCUACGGGAGGCAGCAGUGAGGAAUAUUGGUCAAUGGGCGCAAGCCUGAACCAGCCAUGCCGCGUGCAGGAAGACGGUCCUAUGGAUU